GACGAACGCUGGCGGCGUGCCUAAUACAUGCAAGUUGAGCGCUGAAGGUUGGUACUUGUACCGACUGGAUGAGCAGCGAACGGGUGAGUAACGCGUGGGGAAUCUGCCUUUGAGCGGGGGACAACAUUUGGAAACGAAUGCUAAUACCGCAUAAAAACUUUAAACACAAGUUUUAAGUUUGAAAGAUGCAAUUGCAUCACUCAAAGAUGAUCCCGGGUUGUAUUAGCUAGUUGGUGAGGUAAGGGCUCACCAAGGCGAUGACACAUAGCCGACCUGAGAGGGUGAUCGGCCACAUUGGGACUGAGACACGGCCCAAACUCCUACGGGAGGCAGCAGUAGGGAAUCUUCGGCAAUGGACGAAAGUCUGACCGAGCAACGCCGCGUGAGUGAAGAAGGUUUUCGGAUCGUAAAACUCUGUUGGUAGAGAAGAACGUUGGUGAGAGUGGAAAGCUCAUCAAGUGACGGUAACUACCCAGAAAGGGACGGCUAACUACGUGCCAGCAGCCGCGGUAA
This 513-nucleotide ribosomal RNA is filed under the name uncultured bacterium. RNAcentral's name for it is "partial 16S ribosomal RNA". It matches the Rfam family "Bacterial small subunit ribosomal RNA", at positions 28 to 523 of the family's 1533-position model. The record is from RNAcentral.